CCCUAGCCCCGAUAGUAACGGUUACCCCACAGCAAGCGAUGGGAAAGACUUGGCGCGAGGAGUAAUAGUGGAUAGCGGGAUUAAGC
RNAcentral lists this unclassified non-coding RNA (86 nucleotides) under Epilithonimonas zeae. RNAcentral's name for it is "Chryseobacterium zeae Flavo-1 RNA". It matches the Rfam family "Flavo-1 RNA". The record is from RNAcentral. Lineage: Bacteria; Pseudomonadati; Bacteroidota; Flavobacteriia; Flavobacteriales; Weeksellaceae.